This 4092-nucleotide long non-coding RNA is filed under the name Homo sapiens (human). Its description in RNAcentral is "HSALNT0071316". Lineage: Eukaryota; Metazoa; Chordata; Mammalia; Primates; Hominidae. The record is from RNAcentral.
UAUUGCUCCAGGAAAUCAACUUGCUGUCUCUGUCCGAAGUCCUCCUUCAUAAUGUCUGUAGGAACACAUUAGUUUUAGUAACUUUAGUAACUUCUUACAAAGGCCUCCAUGAGACCAUGGUCUGUGUCCGCUGUGAGACUCCAAUAUAAACAGGAGUGGGAAAGGAGAUUUGAGAGUAGAGACGUGUAGGAUGAAAAGGGAAAAGGGAAGAGAGAGAGGUGCAGAAAGAACAAACAGCCUAUUGAGGAUAUUGGUAGCCAUAGAAGGUUUUGAUGCCUGCACCAAGUCUCGAAGGGAACAAGUAGAUGCUACUCUCAGUGUCCACUAAACCAUAAGUCCUUUGAGGAUACAGGAAGACAUCCACCAAUCUCAAGAUCAAAAUGUGAUAAGAGGAAGUCUGCAAGCAAAGAAGAUGUUACCCACCACCACCUCUUACAGAAAUGGCAGAAUCUCUGGGAAUAAUGAGAAAAGCCUGCCUGUAGCAUGUAGGAGAGUAAAAAAGAGAAUAAGCAACCUGAUGCCACAUAUUGAAAUUUCAUUUGACAAAUAUGCAUUGAAUAUCUACUAUGUGGCAGACAGCCUUCAAGCAGGAGGGAUACACAGAUGAACCAAAUGUAGGCCCUGCCUGUGAGACUCCAGACUGGACAGAAUGCACUUAAGUCCACAUAGCAGUAAUACACGUCGGACUGUGAGGAUGGCUGAGCAGAAGGAAGAGCAAGGAAUUCUCUAUGGGAAGACUCUGGAAGGCUUUAACAAGGAUGUGCUCUUUAGCUGAACCUUAAAGCAUGAGUGAAAAAAAAGAGCAGAAAAAGGUGGUGUUUUGAGCAGAGAACAGACACUGAGCAAGAAGCAGAAGAGCAGAGGAGCCGAGAAAGCUGGACAGAGUUCUAGAAAUGUGGCAUGGAAGGAAUGAAAGGUCUGAGGAGGGAAAGGAGGUCAGGACCAACUACGAAUGGUCUGGAAUGACUUGCUACACGUGGAUUUGACUUUAUUUGUAGGCCGGGGGGUUGUAGAGGUUUUAUAUUUUUAUACAUUUAUUUUUUAAUUUUCAUAUUUCAACAGAGCUUGUUUCAAGUAAUUCUUAUGUAAAACAUGAAUGUAUACAACAAAAACAAGCGGGUGAUGUUUCAUUAGUACAAACGUGCUUUUAUAAUCUUAACUUUAUUAAGCUUGCUUAUUCUUAAGUUAACCAAUGAGAACAAUUCUAAUCGUCUGCACAUGAGUCAAGAUUUUGCACUCUGUGCAAGUGACUGAAAACUCAAUUCAAACUAACUCAGGAAAAAAAAAAGUGGGGGAAGGGAGGAAGAAGAUUUAUUACCCAUAUAAAUCCAGGAGGGGUUCUGGGAUUCAGGAAUCAGUUGAUUGUGGGGCUGAAAGAAUAUUAUCAAAGCUUCAGCUGAUUUCUCAGCUCCAUGUCCCCUCUAUAGUAGCUGCUUCAUUCUCAACAUGAGCAUCCUUGGUAGUCCCCAGGAACGCUGGGCUUAGAAUCACCUUUACAAGCGGCAAUCUUCCUUUCCUACCAAAGCCCACCACAGUCCCAGAACUAAGCCUCAGCGACCUGGCCCGCCUCACAUGUCCAUCCCUGAACCUGUGGCCAACACAAUGGUGUAUCCCAAAUGAGCAUGGUGGGUCCUGCAUACAUCCAGGUCUCGAAGGAAAAUCGAGCUGCUGUCACCGGAAGGAGGAUGCACAGGAAAAAAAAAACACAGUUUAUUCUAUUUUGACCAAUGUGAAAAUUUUAAAUUUAGGAUAAGGGAUUGCAGGUUUAUACCAGUUUUAACACUCACUUUGUUUCUGUAUUUUAUUUGCACAGUAUUGAGAAAAUUCUGAUUCAUUACUGGUAACUGUUUUUUAAAUAGCAUACCUGUUUAAAUUACACCUGGAACAUUCAAAAUAGUCUUAAAUUAAACUUGUGCCAAAGUGUAAGUAGGUUGAAAGUCUGAGCAAUGGGAAGUUUUAUUUCAAAGUUUAAUUCUACAAACAAUCUCCUCUGUUAAUUUAAGUGUUCACUGGGAAGAUGUUUCUCAAAUGUAUCUAUAAUAUCUAACAAGAAAUUCAACAAUGUUACUUAUUUUUUAAACUUAGUAUCUCAGUAACUAUUGCUCAAAGCUUGAGUGUGAUAAAAUUAAUGUUUUGCUCUUUGAGUCAUAAAGUUAGGUUUCAACUUAAUUGCUGGCAUGCUAUCAGCAAAUGUAAGCAUGGUGAUAUUGCAACUUCACAUUGCCAAACUGAACUCAUUCAGUUUCUUGAAAAACAUCAGCAAGUUUAUGCAACUCUGUUAUAUCAGAGAACUAUUUGCUAAGUCUCAUUUGGGAUACAAUAUUUAGUGAUUUCUUGUCUCAUUUGAAAGAGUAAUAACAACACCUUGCCUCAAGACAGUUGGUAAGUGUACUUUCCCAGGAGAAAGUACACUGUGGAACCCACAACCCAAUACAUUCCCAAAAACUAUAAAAAGGCUGAAAUUGGAAUCUCCUGUCUCAUUAAACUGACAAUGUAAAGGAAAUCGCUAAUCACUGUUUUUGCUUUUGUUUUUUGAGACGGAGUCUCGCUCUGUAGCCCAGGCUGGAGUGCAGUGGCGCAAUCUCGCUCACUUGCAAGCUCCGCCUCCCGGGUUCACGCCAUUCUCCUGCCUCAGCCUCCCCAGCAGCUGGGACUAUAGGCGCACACCACCACGCCCGGCUAAUUUUUUGUAUUUUUAGUAGAGAUGGGGUUUCACCGUGUUAGCCAGGACCGUCUCCAUCUCCUGACUUUGUGAUCCUCCCGACUCGGCCUCCCAAAGUGUUGGGAUUACAGGCGUGAGCCACCGCGCCCAGCCUAAUCACUGUUUUAAGAGAUGCUCAUGUCACCUUAAUAGCAAGUGCUUUUCUGUGCAACUUGCCAUGUCUUAUUCAAAAUCACAUUUCACCAAGAAAAUUCCUCAGCACUUUGCACCACUUCAUCCCAUUCUGCAUAGCCUUAUUUUCCUAAUUGGGCUAACAUGACUCUUUUCUUAGCCUGAGAGCCCUGCAAGGGCUGGAACUCUCUUAUUAUGUGCUUUCUCUCCAUUGAGCUUACUAAUGUAUACUCAGAGCUUAGACUGUAAAUGUUUGGUGAAUAAAUUAUGUAUGUAUGUAUGUAUGUAUGUAUAUUUAAUGUGUUUUAUUUACAAAAAAAAUUAAAGGAAAAUUUUCACCAAGCCAUUGUUUCAAAUAAAAUUCUUUUUUUUUAAUUUUUUUUUUUAUUUUGAGACAAUCUCACUCUGUCACCCAGGCUGGAGUGCAGUAGCGCAAUCUUGGCUCACUGCCACCUCCGCCUCCUGGGUUCAAGCGAUUCUCGUGCCUCAGCCACCCAAGUAGCUGGGAUCACAGGCAUGUGCCACCAUGCCCAGCUAAUUCUUGUAUUUUUAGUAGAGACGGGGUUUCACCAUGUUGACUAGGCUGGUCUUGAACUCUUGGCCUCCCAAAGUGCUGAGAUUACAGACAUGAGCCACCACACCCAGCCUCAAAUAAAAUUCUUGAGAUUAAGAGUUUUUACACCCCUUAUAAAUAGCACACAAAACAAGAAACCAAAAACUUAUCUCCUCUACAGAAAUGUUUUGCAAUGGCUAUUUUGACCCCAGGACCAUUUACAUUCCUCAUUCAUUCAUCAAACAGUUAGGAAGCACCUACUACAUGCUAUUAAACUGUCCCCAUUGCUGAGGAUAUCUUCUGAAAGACAUUAAAUACAGUUUUUGACCUCAAGGAGUCUAGUCAGGGAGAAUCAUAGAACUCAAAUCAUCAUCAUGCCACCUGAUGUGUGCCAUAAGAGAGAUACGAAUAUUACGUGGUGUUGAUUAGGCUCUUUCGGGUUGCCAGGAAAAGAGACGUGCUCUGGUGACUUGCAUUAAUGUGGUUCAUUAUGAGGAAGUAGGGAAGAACAGGAAGCAGUUUUAGCAGCUGCCUGGCGGGUCUGGCAGAGCCAGGAAUGUCAUUCAGGACAUAGUAUACCUCCAGCCACCUGUUCUUCUUGACAUUGCUUCAACGGCAAGCAUCUGUUGCUCCUUCUCUAGUGCUCUGCCAGUGUGAUGACUCAGCCACGCUCUGCCCUGCUUUCUCUGCUCGUGCUGCUAAAUCC